AUGGGGGACAACCUGGACGGCUAUGCUGCCACAGGCGGCGCCUGCGAGCGAAGAACACGGUCAUCUCAGAGAACAUCACAGAUGGAUCCUACUAGAGCAUUUAAUCUCAGUGUUAGAAUGGAGACAUGCAUUUUAUCUGGUGCUGGUACAAAAGGAAAAGAACAAGGCUUCACAUUUCCAUUAGUUGUGGACAACAGUAGCACAUUUGAUCAGUUAAGGGCAACAAUUGGUGCCAAAUAUCCUUGGGGAUUAUAUGAUGAUGUGGAGAUAAGGUAUUGGGAUGCAUCCAAAGUUGCUUGGGUUCCUAUUCAGUCUGAUAGUGAGUUAGGUGUCAUGUUUGCUAACAAUGCACAAACCAUGUCAUGCAAUAUGGAAAUCAAUGUUAUUCAGAGGCCUAGAUCACAGAAAAAUUCCAAUGCCACUAGUUCAAGGCCCUCUAGUACUAAAGCAUCUGGAAAACUGACUAAAACAAGGGCAACAAGCAGCAGCUGCAAGCCACCUACAACUCCUAGUGCAAAUGUUCAGUCAGAGCAUUCUUGCAGUAAAACCCAAGCUAAACCUAGCAUAGCUGUUGAUCCUAUUGUGGAGGAAGCAGAGCCUGAUGCAGUACCUUUAUCUGAUGAAGAGGAUGAGAAACUUUACCCAGGAUAUACUGAGCACAACAUGGAGGAAGAUAAAGCAAAUGAGUCCUACAUUCCUGCUGAAUUUUCAGAUACAGAUGAAGAUGAGAAGCUAGAGGAAAAGGACAAUGCAGAAUUUGGAACUGAAGAUGAGGACAUACCUGUAAUGAUGUAUGACAGAGAAAAUCCCUCUAUUGAGGAGGGGGUAGUUUUUCCUUCUGCAGUUGAGUGUAGAAAUGCAGUUGCAACUUUCUCAAUUAAGAGUGAAACAGAGUUCAUUAUUUUGAAAAGUGACCCAACAAGGUUCACUGUCAAAUGUGCCUCUGAGAGAUGUAAGUGGAGGCUACAUGCCUCUUCAAUGAGGAGAAGCACAUUAUUUCAGAUUAAGGUCAAACCUUACCCUCACAAUUGUCCAAGUGUUAAUAGAUCUCAGAGAUUGAGGGCUGCAAAUAGAAGAUGGAUAGCAGAUGCUUAGCUGGCACUAGACAAGAUGUUUGGGAAGUACAGUGAGAGUUUCAGUCUUAUUUAUUCAUUCAAAGCUGAAGUUGAGAGAACAUCACCAGGCAGUGUAGUUGAAAUCGACAAGCACACUGUGGAGUACACAGUGAGAGGAAAGAAAAUGCCUUAUCUUGCUGUGGAUGCAACUGCACUGAAUGGUAGGUAUAGGGGUCAGCUUGUUUCUGCUUGUGCCCUUGAUGCUCACAAUUGGUUAUUCCCUGUUGCCUAUGGUGUCAUAGAAGCAGAGUCAACUAAGAGCUGGACUUGGUUUUUCCAACAACUAAAGAAACUCAUAGGGCAUCCAGAUGGUUUAGUCAUACAUACUGAUGCUUGCAAAGGAUUGGAGAUAGCUGUUGAUCAUGUAUUUGCUGGAGUAGAGCACAGGGAGUGCAUGAGGCAUUUGGCCCAGAACUUCAGCAAGAAGUUCAAAGGCAAGUUCUAUGAUGACAAUUUGUGGCCAUGCUCACUUACAUACAGCAUAAAGAAGCAUACCUACCAUCUAAAUCAGUUGCACAGCAGGCCGAAAGUUAAAGAAUAUUUAGAGGAGCACCACACAAAAAUAUGGGCUAGGGCACUCUUCAAUGAUACUUGCAAAGUGGACUAUGUGAACAACAACCUAGCUGAAGCUUUCAACUCAAGGAUCAAGAAAUACAAGGGGCUUCACAUAGUAGAUUUGUGUGACAAGAUCAGGCAGUAUAUUAUGCAGAAAUUUGAUAUCAGGAACAGGAUUGCCAUUGACCAUUUUGAAGGCCACUUGAUUGUUCCAUCUAUAAUGAAGGCAUUAAUGGCAAAAACUAAAGGUUUAGAGAUGACUUUGAUUAGGAGAAGCCCAAAAGAGGCCGAAGUUACUGCUACUGACAAAGAAAAAAGAGAAUGGAGGUACCCAGUUGACCUGGAGAACUGGACUUGUAGUUGCAGACAGUGGCAAAUAAUUGGUAAGCCAUGCAUCCAUGCUCUCUUCUUUAUCACUGCUCUAAGAGGUGAAGCUAGUGCAAUAGAUCAGUAUGUGCACAACUUUUACUCUGUUGAGAAAUUCAGAGCUACAUAUGCUGAUAACCUUCCAGCUUUGGAAGGAAAACAACAGUGGGAAAUUGUGAAUCCAGGAUUUAAACUCUAUGCUCCAGUUCAAAACAGAGCACCAGGCAGGCCUAGGAAAACUAGGAUAAGGUCUAGCAGUGAAGGAAAGGGACUUGGUCCCAGGAAGUACAAGUGUGGCAGGUGUGGAAGACUAGGCCACCAUGCAAACAAGUGCAAAAAUUCAGUUGAUGUGGCAUUUGGUGAAGAUGAACAUUGGGGAGCAGAGAAUGCAGAAGAGCCAGUAGUGAAAGAGCUAGCAGAUCCACUGGAAGUAGUUGAUGGAAUAGAUGGAGAGGAAGGAUAUCCACCAGGAGAUCCACUAGAAGUAGUUGAUGGAACAGAUGGAGAGGAAGUACAUCCACCAGCAGAUCCACUACAAGAGCCAGCUAGAGAGCCAACACCAUCAUCUACAAAUGCUAGUGUAGUCAGCCCCAGGAAGAAUUACAAGAGGGCAGCAGCUAGAGGAGCUUCUCCAGUUAAGAAGCAGACAACAACACUUCAAGUUCCUGCUGUACUAGCCCCCAACCCAGCAAAGAACACAAGAAGCAGAAGUAGGCUAGCUCCAAAUCCAGCUGAGAACACCAGGAGCAAGAAACUAAAGUUCUAG
This 2802-nucleotide ribosomal RNA is filed under the name Triticum aestivum (bread wheat). RNAcentral describes it as "partial small subunit ribosomal RNA". Lineage: Eukaryota; Viridiplantae; Streptophyta; Magnoliopsida; Poales; Poaceae. The record is from RNAcentral.